UACGGGGGGGGGCACGCGUUGUUCGGAAUUACUGGGCGUAAAGGGCUCGUAGGCGGCCAACUAAGUCCGACGUGAAAUCCCAAGGCUUAACCUUGGAACUGCGUCGGAUACUGGAUGGCUUGAAUUCGGGAGAGGGAUGCAGAAUUCCAGGUGUAGCGGUGAAAUGCGUAGAUAUCUGGAGGAAUACCGGUGGCGAAGGCGGCAUCCUGGACCGACAUUGACGCUGAGGAGCGAAAGCUAGGGGAGCAAACGGG
Molecule: ribosomal RNA, 254 nt
Filed under: uncultured bacterium
Lineage: Bacteria
Description: partial 16S ribosomal RNA
Rfam family: Bacterial small subunit ribosomal RNA
Source: RNAcentral